Molecule: unclassified non-coding RNA, 358 nt
Filed under: Hevea brasiliensis (rubber tree)
Lineage: Eukaryota; Viridiplantae; Streptophyta; Magnoliopsida; Malpighiales; Euphorbiaceae
Source: RNAcentral
AAAAAUUAGUCCAACAUUAACAAAACCUUAAUCUUAUAUGCAAAAAAUCCACCUCUAUUCCUCUAUCUUUGGGCUGAGAGAGUGAAACACAAACCACAAAACCUUCAAAUCUCCACCUGAAACACGUCCUAAUGAAAACACGUCCUAAUGAAAAACGUACUUAUCUAGUGUCGUAUGAAUUUAAAAACCUUGGACUCGUAAUCCUCAUGUGUUUCCAAAAUUUUCUCACAGCAUAAAAAUUAAAGCUAUCGAAUUGAUUAACUGCAUGAUCGGGAUUGGGACUGGGAUUGGAGUAUAUAAAACCUAGAAAUAGAUCAAUGCAGAGAUGGCUUACCAAAGAAGCUGAUGGAGAGUAACG